This 67-nucleotide transfer RNA is filed under the name Laterallus jamaicensis jamaicensis. RNAcentral's name for it is "tRNA-Cys". The record is from RNAcentral. Lineage: Eukaryota; Metazoa; Chordata; Aves; Gruiformes; Rallidae.
GGCUCUGUAGUGAAGUUCAUAUUGAGUUGCAAGCUCAUUGAUGUACAUUUAAAGUGUACCGGGGCCU